RNAcentral lists this long non-coding RNA (461 nucleotides) under Pan troglodytes (chimpanzee). RNAcentral describes it as "lincRNA". Lineage: Eukaryota; Metazoa; Chordata; Mammalia; Primates; Hominidae. The record is from RNAcentral.
CCUAGUUUCCCAGUGCUGGAAUAUAGAAAAUGGAUGGACAAGUAAAUCCCACUCAGCACCCAUAGUCCAGCUGGACCUACCAUGAAAGACUUCUGAAUCCAGGAAGAGAAACUGACUGGGCAACAUGUUAUUCAGAAACAGGACCUUGCCUGUCACUCAGGAUGGAGUUCAGUGGUCCUAUCAUGGCUCAUUAUAGCCUCAAACUCCCAGGCUCAAGCAAUCCUACCAUGUCAGCCUUCCCAGUAGCUGGGACUACAGGAAGUGACCUCACAAUGACUCAAGCUACCACAUACUGUUGAUUGUGAUGAAAUGCCAGUUGAAGCAUAUGUCCUGCGAGCUUAGGGGUGCUACAAGUUGACCACUGCAGCAGUAAAGAUGACUCUGAAGAAUGGCAUGGGAUGGAUCCUUUCGAAUGCACUUGAGCAGCGGUCUCCAACCACAGGGCCACAGAGCUGGAGGUG